GCCGGCCCCGAGAAGAACUCCGCGGAACCCGCGGGCCUCGCCUCCCGGCUUGCAGCGUGAGAGAUUCGGCCUGCGGCUUUCGGCCCCGCCCGCUUGGCUGGCUCCGGGCUCUGCUCACUGGUCCGGGAGGUACCCGGACACGCCUGGUCACCUCUCCGGGUCCAGAUUCCCCAACCAGCUUUCGCCGUGCCUCAGGAACACGAAUUUGGUGUAUUAGUUCCCUUCUGAAAGAGGCUCCAGAGAGCUCCCUGGCCCUUUCAGCCAUGUGAGGGUACAGUGAGAAGUCUGUGAGAAGUGGGCACACUCAUUCCAUCACACUGGCACCCUGCUCUGAUUUCCAGCCCGCAGAACAGGAUUCAGACCUGAAUACAGCUGGCUUCCUAAGCAUAUUCAGGACAUGGCUCACUGAUGACUCUAUAAGGAGGAGAUGGUCAGGAGCUGAGAUCUGAGCAUUUGCUUACUUUUAAGUGCUGCUUUCUCUACAAGACAAAAAUGUCUGGACAUCUCAUUCAUCUCAACAGUAAGCACAAGAACACCAUCUCCCCUUAAUGGAAUAAAACUUCGGGCAGUGUACAGUAAGCUGUGAAAAUAGUGACUAAGGCUGGGUUUUCAAACAGCAGCAAUUAGGUCAGUUGUCUUUCCCUGGGCUGAAUAAAAGUACUAGCUGUUCAUAAGAAAUAGGCAAGAGGACAGGCUCUUUGGCCCCACUUUAAAAAAAUUUUUAAAUUCCACUUGAAAUAAUAGCUAAAAACUACAAAGUAGAGACUGCAGAAGAUCCCAAAAUUUCUUGAGUUUGGAAUAUUUUCUUUUUAUUGCAUUAACUCUUAAGAGUUUUGAUAUUUGGGAGUUAUAAUUGGUAUUUCUCAUUUUCUUGACUAAACCAAUUUUGCAUUAGCAUUAAUAAAGGUUCUGCUAAGACUUUUUAAAGAUGUUGUACUUACACACUUAAAAAUAAAGGUAAACAUAAAACUAAAACCAAAGGAUACAAAGAUAAAAGAGAAAAAAUACCGACUGUUAAAAAGUUUAUAACAUUUCUUUAAUUCAUCCUUAUUUAUGAAGCAAAUAACUCAAGGAUAUAUAAGGAAAAAUGGACAGAAAAUGCAAGAAAUGGGACAUAGAGAAGAAAAGAGAAAUUCCCACCCAGACAGAAAAUAAUGAAGUUAAAAAGCUUGAAGGGGAAAUACUGAGGCAGCCAUUUCUUGAAGUAGAUUAGCAGAUUUUCUGUACACUAACUUUGA
This is a long non-coding RNA of Mirounga angustirostris (Northern elephant seal), 1238 nucleotides long. RefSeq lists it as uncharacterized. Lineage: Eukaryota; Metazoa; Chordata; Mammalia; Carnivora; Phocidae. The record is from RefSeq and is a predicted model, not a curated record. The transcript has 3 exons.